GACGUAGGGCGCAAGCGUUGUCCGGAUUUAUUGGGCGUAAAGAGCUCGUAGGCGGCUCGUUGCGUCGGCUGUGAAAACCCGCAGCUCAACUGUGAGCUUGCGGUCGAUACGGGCAGGCUAGAGUUCGGGUAGGGGAGACUGGAAUUCCUGGUGUAGCGGUGAAAUGCGCAGAUAUCAGGAGGAACACCGGUGGCGAAGGCGGGUCUCUGGGGCCGAUACUGACGCUGAGGAGCGAAAGCGUGGGGAGCGAACAGG
This 255-nucleotide ribosomal RNA is filed under the name uncultured bacterium. Its description in RNAcentral is "partial 16S ribosomal RNA". It matches the Rfam family "Bacterial small subunit ribosomal RNA", at positions 524 to 776 of the family's 1533-position model. The record is from RNAcentral.